RNAcentral lists this ribosomal RNA (285 nucleotides) under Gloeotilopsis sterilis. Its description in RNAcentral is "partial small subunit ribosomal RNA". It matches the Rfam family "Eukaryotic small subunit ribosomal RNA", at positions 598 to 888 of the family's 1831-position model. The record is from RNAcentral. Lineage: Eukaryota; Viridiplantae; Chlorophyta; Ulvophyceae; Ulotrichales; Ulotrichaceae.
CGUAUAUUUAAGUUGUUGCAGUUAAAAAGCUCGUAGUUGGAUUUCGGGUGGGCUUGGCCGGUCCGCCGUUUCGGUGUGCACUGGCCCGGCCCAUCUUGCUGGCGGGGACGGGCUCCUGGGCUUCACUGUCCGGGACUCGGAGUCGCCGAGGUUACCUUGAGUAAAUUAGAGUGUUCAAAGCAGGCAUACGCUCUGAAUAUUUCAGCAUGGGAUAGCAUGAUAGGACUCUGGUCCAUCUUGCUGGUCUGUGGCACCGGAGUAAUGAUUAAGAGGGACAGUCGGGGG